This 801-nucleotide long non-coding RNA is filed under the name Struthio camelus australis. Its description in RNAcentral is "lncRNA (ENSSCUG00000002748.1)". Lineage: Eukaryota; Metazoa; Chordata; Aves; Struthioniformes; Struthionidae. The record is from RNAcentral.
AAUGGCUUUUAUGGCGUAGGCUAUACGUGCUGUGUCAGACAGGUGUUUUGUAAACACUUAAUUUGUUUCAAAAAUACCCUUCAUAACCAAGGCAAAGGAGCAACACUUUCUCAUUGCUGCAACAGCCUGCUUUUGGGUCUAUAAAAGCACUGGACUGGAAGACAAGAGGUUUGUGAUCCGACUGCUGGGAAAGAAGAAAAAAAAAAAGGCAAAAAACCCUCAGGUUGACUCAACAUAUACGGCUGUUUUUUUUUUUUUUAAAAUUCACUUUUUUUACAAUAGAGAACAGCACUACAAAACAUAGGCAAAAAAUACUUGCUUUGGAGCACGUUCGGGGUGUGAGGUUACAUCUUUUGCUUAAGUCUACGUUGACGACAAGGGCAGUUCCAACUCCGGAAAAGACAGCCUCUGCAAAGGGAGCCCGACCUGAGGAGCAGAUGCCAGCAGCUACAGAACGCAGAACACAGGAGGCUGGGUACAGCAUUCACAAAAUUACUAUUGAAAGGCUGCGAGAGCUGGGCCUGUUCAGUCUGGCGAAGAGAAGACUGAGAGGCGAUCUCAUCAACGUGCAUAAGAAUCUGAAGGAGGGAUGUCAAGAGGAUGAGGCCAGUCUCUUCUCCGUGGUGCCCAGCAACAGGACAAGAGGCAACGGGCAGAAACUGAACCACAGGAAUUUCCGUCUGAACCUGAGGAAAAACUUCUUCACUGGGAGGGUCACAGAGCAGUGGCACAGGUUGCCCAGAGAGGCAGUGGAGUCUCCUUCGCUGGAGAUACUCAAAACCCGUCUGGAUGCGGUCCUGG